AAGGGUAUAGCUCAAGUGGUAGAGCACAUGCCUAGCAUGUAUGAAGUCCUGGGUUCAAUCCCCAGUACCUCCU
Molecule: transfer RNA, 73 nt
Filed under: Camelus bactrianus (Bactrian camel)
Lineage: Eukaryota; Metazoa; Chordata; Mammalia; Artiodactyla; Camelidae
Also listed under: 2 other names
Rfam family: tRNA
About the family: Transfer RNA (tRNA) molecules are approximately 80 nucleotides in length.
Source: Rfam by way of RNAcentral